Molecule: long non-coding RNA, 110 nt
Organism: Etheostoma cragini (Arkansas darter)
Lineage: Eukaryota; Metazoa; Chordata; Actinopteri; Perciformes; Percidae
Exons: 3
Source: RefSeq, a predicted model, not a curated record
AAUCAAUACUCUCGGAUCUGCUGCUAGUCUCCUAAAGAGGCGUGGCCGUGGCGGAGCCCACAUGACACAGACACAGGAAACUACUCUGAGUUGGGGCAUGUCGGUUCCAA